This 253-nucleotide ribosomal RNA is filed under the name uncultured bacterium. RNAcentral's name for it is "partial 16S ribosomal RNA". It matches the Rfam family "Bacterial small subunit ribosomal RNA", at positions 524 to 776 of the family's 1533-position model. The record is from RNAcentral.
UACGAAGGGGGCUAGCGUUGCUCGGAAUCACUGGGCGUAAAGCGCACGUAGGCGGAUCUUUAAGUCAGGGGUGAAAUCCCAAGGCUCAACCUUGGAACUGCCUUUGAUACUGGGGAUCUCGAGUCCGGAAGAGGUUGGUGGAACUGCGAGUGUAGAGGUGAAAUUCGUAGAUAUUCGCAAGAACACCAGCGGCGAAGGCGGCCAACUGGUCCGGUACUGACGCUGAGGUGCGAAAGCGUGGGGAGCAAACAGG